RNAcentral lists this small RNA (105 nucleotides) under bovine gut metagenome. RNAcentral's name for it is "RT-5 RNA". It matches the Rfam family "RT-5 RNA". From Rfam's summary of the family: Clostridium (Firmicutes). Environment (Cow rumen (57)) The record is from RNAcentral.
UUGCGCCUGGGGCGGACCCGGCAGCGCCUUCCCCAAAGCUUCCCAGGCAGCGGGCGGCUGUACGGUCUGGUACAUCCCGGAAUUAUCCGGGCUUUAACGCCUUCU